GACGAACGCUGGCGGCGUGCCUAAUACAUGCAAGUAGAACGCACAGUUUAUACCGUAGCUUGCUACACCAUAGACUGUGAGUUGCGAACGGGUGAGUAACGCGUAGGUAACCUGCCUGGUAGCGGGGGAUAACUAUUGGAAACGAUAGUUAAUACCGCAUAAUAUUGAUUAUUGCAUGAUAAUUAAUUGAAAUGUGCAAUUGCACCACUACCAGAUGGACCUGCGUUGUAUUAGCUAGUAGGUGAGGUAACGGCUCACCUAGGCGACGAUACAUAGCCGACCUGAGAGGGUGAUCGGCCACACUGGGACUGAGACACGGCCCAGACUCCUACGGGAGGCAGCAGUAGGGAAUCUUCGGCAAUAGACGAAAGUCUGACCGAGCAACGCCGCGUGAGUGAAGAAGGUUUUCGGAUCGUAAAGCUCUGUUGUAAGAGAAGAACGGGUGUGAGAGUGGAAAGUUCACACUGUGACGGUAUCUUACCAGAAAGGGACGGCUAACUACGUG
RNAcentral lists this ribosomal RNA (505 nucleotides) under uncultured bacterium. RNAcentral's name for it is "partial 16S ribosomal RNA". It matches the Rfam family "Bacterial small subunit ribosomal RNA", at positions 28 to 507 of the family's 1533-position model. The record is from RNAcentral.